This 311-nucleotide ribosomal RNA is filed under the name uncultured eukaryote. Its description in RNAcentral is "partial 18S ribosomal RNA". It matches the Rfam family "Eukaryotic small subunit ribosomal RNA", at positions 1470 to 1796 of the family's 1831-position model. The record is from RNAcentral.
CCCCUAGACGUUCUGGGCUGCACGCGCGCUUCAAUAAUACGCACAGCGAGUAUCACCGAGCUCGAAAGGGCAAGGUAAACAAUAGAAAAGGUACUGUAAUGGUUAUAGAUCCUUGUAAUUAUUGAUCUUCAACGAGGAAUUCCUAGUAAGUAUGUGUCAUCAUCACGCACUGAUUACGUCCCUGCCCUUUGUACACACCGCCCGUCGCUCCUACCGAUUGGGUGAGCCGAUGAAACUCUCGGAUGUAGGCUAUUCAUAGCCCGCAGAAGAGAUUUGAAUCGUAGCGCUUAGAGGAAGGAGAAGUCGUAACA